Molecule: long non-coding RNA, 1327 nt
Filed under: Daucus carota (carrot)
Lineage: Eukaryota; Viridiplantae; Streptophyta; Magnoliopsida; Apiales; Apiaceae
Description: long non-coding RNA (DCAR_LNC003417)
Source: RNAcentral
UUAAAACUUGCUGCACCUACCUUUUGUGUGAAAGAUUAAACACAUUGUGUUAUCUCUUCAUCUGCAUAGAAUCUCCAGGACAGUCGCUAGUGGUUUUUCAAAUCACUGCAUCUUUGUUUCAACACCACAUUCUUCGCCCACUACUCGCCACUUAGUCACCUUAUCAUUUGUCUAGCUAUAUCUAUAUGAAUCCGAUCCGUCCCAACUACAAUAUAUUAAUAUUUUUCGACCUUUUAUUAAAAAACACAAGGAUCAACUUGUUAUCGAGUUUGUGCGUCAACAACAUUUUGCGAGCUUCCUUAUCGAGUUUCUUCACGUCCCACCUCUUGUAUGAUCAAGUUGGGUCGCUUGUGAAAGGAUGCUUAAACACAGUGUUCAAGUUCGAGAGAAAAGAGCUAAAAAGUCACUAUUUUAACAAAAUGGGUCUUAAUGUCAUUUUAUGAAAGAAUAGCCCCAACAGUAAUUUCAAAAACAAAUUUGUAAAGUUGCGGUUUAAAUUUUGUGAGGAAAACUCGUGUUUUCAGCUGAAAACCACGAUUGCAAGGUGCGUUUUCAGUCGAAAUCACAAUUUAAAGUUGCGUCUUUGUUCACCAUUGUAAACACGAACCGAAUUUGCAUUUUGAAGUGACAUUUUGAACUAUUUUUUCAGAAAGUGACAAUAAAAACCUUUUUUUAAUUAAAUAAUGACAUUUCAAGGCAACACUCGAGUUUGGCUCAUUCAUUAACCAAGUCAGAGUUUAAACUGAUCCUUUUUCUGAGUUGAAGACCGAAUUGUUUAUGAGUGUCUCUCGACUCAUUUACGACCCGAUUUUCUGCCCCAAUAAUCAAAAUAUCUUAACAAUUAUGAAAUUUCCAGAAGGGCUAGAUGAUCUAAACAUUUUGAUGCUUCGAAUCAUUGGUAGGGAAAUUCUUGGGCAAAUAGCAGACAUUUUAUUUAUCAGAAACGAAUAAAAUAUUUGAUAUUGAUUUUAAACGAUACAAUUAUUUCUUGUUUUCCAUUUUGAUGUUUGAUCAUAAACUCAUAGAACUAUCAAUUUACCUGUAAAAUUCAACAUGCUGCUAAAUGGAAGUGCGAUCGAAUAUUAUACAGUUUUUUAAUAUGAGUAUGCCUUUUCUGGUGAUCAAGAACUAGAUUCCCAGAUUCGUAUUUUAUGUCAAUAUUCAUCUUCCAAUAAACUGAAAUUAUAUUAUAAUGACCAAGUGCAAUUGAUAACAGUAUGUUUCCACUCUUUAGUCCAUCUGCUGAUGCUAAUUUUAGAAUCUGAAAUCCUUAAUCUGUAUGAACAGGAAUCCGCAUAAACGCACGCACUAAUGGAGUAAUUACAAG